Long non-coding RNA from Oreochromis aureus, 1146 nucleotides. The record is from Ensembl. Lineage: Eukaryota; Metazoa; Chordata; Actinopteri; Cichliformes; Cichlidae.
GGGAAAUAUCUGUGGCAAGAUGGUGGUGGUAGCAGACACACCAGGCUGCCUCUCUGUGACAUCAGACUUCUUGAAGGCAUCCUGUGCUAUACUUCUGGUUGUCAAUCUUAGCUCGUCGUUCAAAGAUACCUGGAGGAAAACCUUGCAAAAAGAGCUGGAGGCAGGAGGAGAUCAGUUAUGGAACAGAUGUAUGGUCCUGUUCAGCUAUGGUGACAUGCUGGGUGACACAAGCAUCGAGCAGCACAUUGAAAGCGAAGGAGAGCCGCUGCAAUGGCUUGUUGAGAAGUGUGGGAACAGAUAUCAUGUGUUAGACAAUAAGAACUGGGGAGAUGGAGCUCAGGUUAAAGAGCUAAUUGAUCUGAUGGAGGAGAUGCUUGUUGAUGAGGCUCUUCUUCACAGAGGUGAUCACAUGUGGAAAAGUGUUGCUUCAGCUCAAGGGCAGCAGAUAGGCACAGAGCCACUGUAUAAGAGGGCUCCAGAGGAUUUCAUGCGUAGCAGACCUGAGCAGUCCAAUAACUUGCCUGAAUCCCUCCCCUAUCCAUCACUGAACCUCUCAGAAGAUUAUUCUCAGUUAGUAGUAUUACCAGCAGGAAGAACCAUAGAGUUGGCUGGAUGUAUCAUUGUGGACCAAUAUCGCUUCAUGUCCUAUAUAUUGUCUCUGCUUUCUGGCAAACAAGUACUGAGGUUGCCAAAAGUGGCUCAGCAUGUCCCAUCUCCUGCUCCUCACAACCACCUGAGAGUGAACAGUGAAAGCCUCAUGGAUCCCAUCCCACGCAGACUUGAAACAACACAUCUAGUUUCAUCUCAGACACAGAACGAGGCAUGCAUAGAACAAGAUUUGAUCAGUGUGCAAUCACUCUGCCAUCCUGCACUGAUAGAGCAGACUCUUAGAAGGGUCUCUGAGUCUGGAGGCCUGCAGACCUUCAUUGAACAGUGGGGCAACAGCAGCCUGGAGGAGCUGGAAGCCUUCAUUGACUUGCACUUUGAGAUUGUGUGGGAAGAAGCCAUGAGAUCAUGUCAGCCGCCUGAACCGAGCCACGCCGUGCCCAAGCAGGAUAAUGCUGUUGGGGAAGCUGGAGAGGAAGUGUUUACAUCCAUUCACAGGAAACUUUCAAAGCUGGAGCUGCUUGAGGAGAUAAAAAGGGA